CCUACGGGUGGCUGCAGUGGGGAAUAUUGCACAAUGGGCGCAAGCCUGAUGCAGCCAUGCCGCGUGUGUGAAGAAGGCCUUCGGGUUGUAAAGCACUUUCAGCGGGGAGGAAGGCGUUAAGGUUAAUAACCUUGGCGAUUGACGUUACCCGCAGAAGAAGCACCGGCUAACUGCCGUGCCAGCAGCCGCGGUAAUACGGAGGGUGCAAGCGUUAAUCGGAAUUACUGGGCGUAAAGCGCACGCAGGCGGUCUGUCAAGUCGGAUGUGAAAUCCCCGGGCUCAACCUGGGAACUGCAUUCGAAACUGGCAGGCUAGAGUCUUGUAGAGGGGGGUAGAAUUCCAGGUGUAGCGGUGAAAUGCGUAGAGAUCUGGAGGAAUACCGGUGGCGAAGGCGGCCCCCUGGACAAAGACUGACGCUCAGGUGCGAAAGCGUGGGGAGCAAACAGGAUUAGAUACCCCAGUAGUC
RNAcentral lists this ribosomal RNA (466 nucleotides) under uncultured Klebsiella sp. Its description in RNAcentral is "bacterial SSU rRNA". It matches the Rfam family "Bacterial small subunit ribosomal RNA", at positions 338 to 795 of the family's 1533-position model. Lineage: Bacteria; Pseudomonadati; Pseudomonadota; Gammaproteobacteria; Enterobacterales; Enterobacteriaceae. The record is from RNAcentral.